UGCAAGCGAGUUCCAGUCCAAUACCGAAAAUACGAAUAGGGUCUAUUAAAUAACUAAAUGUGCUAUCUCGUAAGCUUUGGUUUAGUUCUUUCUACAAACGCAUCGUCAGAAUAAGACAAAUGAGGGAAGUAAAAGUAACAGGCGCCACGUUAUAUCUUCCAUGAUUAAGAAUGUCUCGAUCACGGACCCCGGGGGGGAGGGGGGGGGGUAACUUCCAUAUGAAAAGGACGGUGAUGCUCGUCAGAAAACAAAUUUGAAUUAAACUGAAGGAGACUAAUCUGGGCGUGGUUCGAGCUUUAUUUGUCUCCUGAAAGCUACUCCUUAAAACGGAAAUCAAAGCGUUUUCUAUUAUUUCUUCGAGUGAACCCCAAAAAGAUACUGUCUCGUCCUAAACACUCUAACUGAGACCAAAAUCCUUGAAUUGAUAUUCACAACUAACACAGACGACGAGCACCCUAGACCUUUUCAUAUAGGAGUCUCCGAAGGGGAGGUGGGGAGGGGAGUUAUAGACCUCCUACUCAGUGUAGAGUAAAUCUUCACAACAUCUAACAGAUAAAAUAAGGUCAAAUUGAUUAUCAUUAUGUUUUUAACAGUUUUGACUAUCUCAGGAUUGUAAAUGAUAAGCAACAGAUUGUUGGUACGUACUGUGGUCAGAAGACUGGGGAGGAAGUUUUCUUAGCCGGAGACCAGGUGUCGAUAACAUUCCACUCCGACAAUACUAGAGAGAGAAGAGGAUUUCACCUAUAUUUCACCGCUGUUCCACACGUUCCACCCAAGAUAGUUUCUGCAGAGGAACCAGUCACUCCGGGUAACAAAGUGUCAUGUUCAGCCAGAGGAACUCCUCCCAUAUACACAGCACUGAUAUGGGGCUCUACAGUACUGCUGAAUACAACUAACACUGCAACCCUCCCUUUGUACGAGGAGGGCAACUACACGUGCGAGGGCACCAGCAAGUAUGGAACUGACAAGAGGGUGGUUUUAGUAGAAGGUUGUGGCCCUGUGAUAAAUAACACGCUAAAAAGUCCCGGAUAUCCUGAGAAUUAUCCACUUAAUAGGGACUGUGCUUCGUCGAUUCCUGUUCCACCAGGCAUGAUGGCGAUAAAUAUAUCCUUUCAAGAAAUCUACCUGGAGUAUAGUUCACGUUGCAAGUAUGAAUUGACAUGAUUUACUCUACUGUAUUAACCAACUGCGAUUAUUAAGAGAAGCAGGGUUCAAUGUAAAGUCUGAAGAGGGUAAACAUCCAGUCGCUUUUUUUAAAGGAGUUCAG
Molecule: long non-coding RNA, 1267 nt
Organism: Orbicella faveolata
Lineage: Eukaryota; Metazoa; Cnidaria; Anthozoa; Scleractinia; Merulinidae
Source: RefSeq, a predicted model, not a curated record